This 506-nucleotide long non-coding RNA is filed under the name Nicotiana benthamiana. RNAcentral describes it as "long non-coding RNA (NBEN_LNC012738)". The record is from RNAcentral. Lineage: Eukaryota; Viridiplantae; Streptophyta; Magnoliopsida; Solanales; Solanaceae.
GUUAGGAUUAUGAUUCCUACUAAAAACAACAACCUUCAUAUCGAAUAAUUCGGAUAUACAAACUACAUGAGCGGAAGCUAACCUGAAUCCAUAUGUGUGGAAUUUGAUGAAACCUCAUUUUGAUGAUUGUCCUUAAGUUGUUGUGAACUCCUUUAGUCUUCCUUCAAGUUCCUCGAAGUAUACUUGUACCCACAAGAAUGUAUCCACAAUACUAACACAAUGUAUGAAAGGUUCACANNNNNNNNNNNNNNNNNNNNNGCAAGUAACCAUAGUUACUUAUGUAACCUUAGUUAGCCCAUCAUAAACUAAGGUUACCCUUUUGGGUAUCUACACAUUAGUCCUACACUUUAGUAUGAUAAUACAUUGGCCCCUUUAACAUAAUGUCCAUAAGACCACAUAAUUAGGCCAAACCAAAAGAUAGCACAUAACAUAUAAUUAUCCAUAAUUGUUCAUAUGUGUGUAGAUAUAAGUCCAUAUAUCUAGAUAUAAAUCCAUAUAUCUUACAU